This 255-nucleotide unclassified non-coding RNA is filed under the name Glomus sp. Its description in RNAcentral is "partial contains 5.8S ribosomal RNA and internal transcribed spacer 2". The stretch from base 1 to 72 matches the Rfam family "5.8S ribosomal RNA", at positions 84 to 154 of the family's 154-position model. The record is from RNAcentral. Lineage: Eukaryota; Fungi; Glomeromycota; Glomeromycetes; Glomerales; Glomeraceae.
GUGAAUCAUCGAAUCUUUGAAUGCAAAUUGCACUCUCCGGUUUUCCGGGAGAGUAUGCCUGUUUGAGGGUCAGCCUAAAAAAAAUCGACAUUGUUGCUGGUUGAGGGCGACUUUCUUCGGAGAUGGGUUAUCUUAAAUCUCGGAUUAAGCGACUUAAAAAUUUUUUUUACGAUUCUAAGAAUGUUUCUAAGAUUUUUCUUAUACGUUUAAGGUAUCGAAUGUCUUAUUAGACGUGACCAACAUAUCGGAUCGCGU